This 460-nucleotide ribosomal RNA is filed under the name uncultured bacterium. RNAcentral describes it as "partial 16S ribosomal RNA". It matches the Rfam family "Bacterial small subunit ribosomal RNA", at positions 338 to 795 of the family's 1533-position model. The record is from RNAcentral.
CCUACGGGAGGCAGCAGUGAGGAAUAUUGGUCAAUGGACGAGAGUCUGAACCAGCCAAGUAGCGUGAAGGAUGACUGCCCUAUGGGUUGUAAACUUCUUUUAUAUGGGAAUAAAACGUUCCACGUGUGGGAUUUUGUAUGUACCAUAUGAAUAAGGAUCGGCUAACUCCGUGCCAGCAGCCGCGGUAAUACGGAGGAUCCGAGCGUUAUCCGGAUUUAUUGGGUUUAAAGGGAGCGUAGGUGGAUUGUUAAGUCAGUUGUGAAAGUUUGCGGCUCAACCGUAAAAUUGCAGUUGAAACUGGCAGUCUUGAGUACAGGAGAGGUGUGCGGAAUUCGUGGUGUAGCGGUGAAAUGCUUAGAUAUCACGAAGAACUCCGAUUGCGAAGGCAGUUCACUGGACUGCAACUGACACUGAGGCUCGAAAGUGUGGGUAUCAAACAGGAUUAGAUACCCUUGUAGUC